GCCAAAAAUCGGGGGCAAAGCCUGGCGGCGCUGCCGCAGGCAAAACCCGCAACCUCCUCCGAUGAGUCCAUUUACGUUUUUCGUUUUCUAUUUUGUGCGAUUUUUUCACCAUUGUAUUCACUGUUCUGUUUUCUACAAGUUGACCAAAGAAAAACUCCCAGCCACGAAGGUAAGCUGGUAGAGCAGCCGCACCCGGAAAACCCCACCGUUAGUAGGUUU
This 219-nucleotide long non-coding RNA is filed under the name Carica papaya (papaya). Its description in RNAcentral is "long non-coding RNA (CPAP_LNC004503)". Lineage: Eukaryota; Viridiplantae; Streptophyta; Magnoliopsida; Brassicales; Caricaceae. The record is from RNAcentral.